This 301-nucleotide ribosomal RNA is filed under the name uncultured bacterium. RNAcentral's name for it is "partial 16S ribosomal RNA". It matches the Rfam family "Bacterial small subunit ribosomal RNA", at positions 509 to 807 of the family's 1533-position model. The record is from RNAcentral.
CAGUCGCCACGGUAAUACGUAGGGUGCAAGCGUUAAUCGGAAUUACUGGGCGUAAAGCGUGCGCAGGCGGUUUGUUAAGUCUGAUGUGAAAGCCCCCGGCUCAACCGGGGAGGGUCAUUGGAAACUGGGAAACUUGAGUGCAGAAGAGGAGAGUGGAAUUCCACGUGUAGCGGUGAAAUGCGUAGAGAUGUGGAGGAACACCAGUGGCGAAGGCGGCCAUCUGGGACAACACUGACGCUGAGGCACGAGAGCGUGGGGAGCAAACAGGAUUAGAUACCCCAGUAGUCCCUGUCUCUUAUAC